GCCGGGGUGGCCGAGUGGGGCAAGGCGCGAGUCUCAACGACUCUUAGGGCACUGACCCGACGCAGGUUCGAGUCCUGCCCCCGGCG
Transfer RNA from Caenorhabditis briggsae, 86 nucleotides. It matches the Rfam family "tRNA". Rfam says of the family: Transfer RNA (tRNA) molecules are approximately 80 nucleotides in length. Their secondary structure includes four short double-helical elements and three loops (D, anti-codon, and T loops). Further hydrogen bonds mediate the characteristic L-shaped molecular structure. tRNAs have two regions of fundamental functional importance: the anti-codon, which is responsible for specific mRNA codon recognition, and the 3' end, to which the tRNAs corresponding amino acid is attached (by aminoacyl-tRNA synthetases). tRNAs cope with the degeneracy of the genetic code in two manners: having more than one tRNA (with a specific anti-codon) for a particular amino acid; and 'wobble' base-pairing, i.e. permitting non-standard base-pairing at the 3rd anti-codon position. NCBI's taxonomy places the organism in Eukaryota, Metazoa, Nematoda, Chromadorea, Rhabditida, Rhabditidae. The record is from Rfam.